AUUGAACGCUGGCGGCAGGCCUAACACAUGCAAGUCGAGCGAGCGGCGGACGGGUGAGUAAUGUAUGGGGAUCUGCCCGAUAGAGGGGGAUAACUACUGGACACGGUUGCUAAUACCGCAUACUUUCGGAUGAACCCAUUUGGGAUUAGCGAGUAGGUGGGGUAAAGGCUCACCAAGGCGACGAUCUCUAGCUGGUCUGAGAGGAUGAUCAGUCACACUGGAACUGAGACACGGUCCAGACUCCUACGGGAGGCAGCAGUGGGGAAUAUUGCACAAUGGGCGAAAGCCUGAUGCAGCCAUGCCGCGUGUGUGAAGAAGGCCUUCGGGUUGUAAAGCACUUUCAGCGAGGAGGCGUUACUCGCAGAAGAAGCACCGGCUAACUCCGUGCCAGCAGCCGCGGUAAUAC
RNAcentral lists this ribosomal RNA (406 nucleotides) under uncultured bacterium. RNAcentral describes it as "partial 16S ribosomal RNA". It matches the Rfam family "Bacterial small subunit ribosomal RNA", at positions 30 to 526 of the family's 1533-position model. The record is from RNAcentral.